GUGCUUGCUUUGUCAGCAUAUACACUAAAAUUUGUAUGAUACAGAGAAGAUUCAAUGGCCCCCGUGCAAGGAUGACAUGCAAAUUUGUGAAACAGUUCCAUUUGGA
This 106-nucleotide small nuclear RNA is filed under the name Castor canadensis (American beaver). The record is from RNAcentral. Lineage: Eukaryota; Metazoa; Chordata; Mammalia; Rodentia; Castoridae.